Molecule: ribosomal RNA, 283 nt
Filed under: Escherichia coli
Lineage: Bacteria; Pseudomonadati; Pseudomonadota; Gammaproteobacteria; Enterobacterales; Enterobacteriaceae
Description: partial 23S ribosomal RNA
Rfam family: Bacterial large subunit ribosomal RNA
Source: RNAcentral
GCAAACUGCGAAUACCGGAGAAUGUUAUCACGGGAGACACACGGCGGGUGCUAACGUCCGUCGUGAAGAGGGAAACAACCCAGACCGCCAGCUAAGGUCCCAAAGUCAUGGUUAAGUGGGAAACGAUGUGGGAAGGCCCAGACAGCCAGGAUGUUGGCUUAGAAGCAGCCAUCAUUUAAAGAAAGCGUAAUAGCUCACUGGUCGAGUCGGCCUGCGCGGAAGAUGUAACGGGGCUAAACCAUGCACCGAAGCUGCGGCAGCGACGCUUAUGCGUUGUUGGGUA